This 529-nucleotide ribosomal RNA is filed under the name uncultured bacterium. RNAcentral describes it as "partial 16S ribosomal RNA". It matches the Rfam family "Bacterial small subunit ribosomal RNA", at positions 28 to 523 of the family's 1533-position model. The record is from RNAcentral.
GAUGAACGCUGGCGGCGUGCCUAAUACAUGCAAGUCGAACGAAGCUUCUUUAUCACCGAGUGCUUGCACUCACCGAUAAAGAGUUGAGUGGCGAACGGGUGAGUAACACGUGGGCAACCUGCCCGAAAGAGGGGGAUAACACUUGGAAACAGGUGCUAAUACCGCAUAACCAUGAACACCGCAUGGUGUUUAUGUGAAAGGUGGUUUCGGCUACCGCUUUCGGAUGGGCCCGCGGCGCAUUAGCUAGUUGGUGGGGUAAAGGCUUACCAAGGCAAGGAUGCGUAGCCGAACUGAGAGGUUGAUCGGCCACAUUGGGACUGAGCCACGGCCCAAACUCCUACGGGAGGCAGCAGUAGGGAAUCUUCCACAAUGGGCGAAAGCCUGAUGGAGCAACGCCGCGUGGGUGAAGAAGGUCUUCGGAUCGUAAAACCCUGUUGUCAGAGAAGAAAGUGCAUGAGAGUAACUGUUCAUGUUUCGACGGUAUCUGACCAGAAAGCCACGGCUAACUACGUGCCAGCAGCCGCCGUAA